Molecule: ribosomal RNA, 554 nt
Filed under: Amanita vaginata
Lineage: Eukaryota; Fungi; Basidiomycota; Agaricomycetes; Agaricales; Amanitaceae
Description: LSU rRNA
Rfam family: Eukaryotic large subunit ribosomal RNA
Source: RNAcentral
UUUGGAAAGAGAUUAAACAGUAUGUGAAAUUGUUGAAAGGGAAACGCUUGAAGUCAGUUAUGUUGGCUAGGGAUCAACCUAUCUAUUUUUGCUGGGUGAAUUCCUAGUUUGACAGGCCAACAUCAUUCUUGACUGCUGGAAAAGAGCAGAAGGAAUGUGGCACCUUUGGGUGUGUUAUAGCCUUUGUCAUAUGUGGCAGUUGGGACUGAGGGAUGCAGCGUGCCGCGAAGCUGGGUUUCGACCACGUUCACGCUUAGGAUGUUGGCUUUUAAUGGCUUCAAUCGACCCGUCUUGAAACACGGACCAAGGAGUCUAACAUGCCUGCGAGUGUUUGGGUGGAAAACCCUUGUGCACAAUGAAAGUGAAAGUUGAGAUCCCUGUCAUGGGGAGCAUCGACGCCCGGACUGGAGCUUUUAACAAUGGAUCCGCGGUAGAGCAUGCAUGUUGGGACCCGAAAGAUGGUGAACUAUGCCUGAAUAGGGCAAAGCCAGAGGAAACUCUGGUGGAGGUUCGUAGCGAUUCUGACGUGCAAAUCGAUCGUCAAAUUUGGGUAU